RNAcentral lists this unclassified non-coding RNA (347 nucleotides) under soil metagenome. RNAcentral describes it as "partial contains 5.8S ribosomal RNA, internal transcribed spacer 2, and large subunit ribosomal RNA". The stretch from base 1 to 121 matches the Rfam family "5.8S ribosomal RNA", at positions 35 to 154 of the family's 154-position model. The record is from RNAcentral.
GAUGAAGAACGCAGCGAAAUGCGAUAAGUAAUGCGAAUUGCAGAAUUUCCGUGAGUCAUCGAAUCUUUGAACGCACAUUGCGCCCAUUGGUAUUCCGAUGGGCAUGCCUGUUCGAGCGUCAUUAUCCCCCCUCAAGCCUUCGGUUUGGUGUUGGACCCAUGUUGUGUAAUGAACAACUGGUCUCAAAGACAAUGACGGCGUCCGUGGGACCCUCGGUGCAACGAGCUUUUAGGAGCACGCAUCGAGUUGCAAGGACCUUCCGGGCCGGUCUCCUUUACUAUUUUACAAGGUUGACCUCGGAUCAGGUAGGAAUACCCGCUGAACUUAAGCAUAUCAAUAAGCGAGGA